Non-coding RNA from Microcebus murinus (gray mouse lemur), 2585 nucleotides. The record is from RefSeq and is a predicted model, not a curated record. Lineage: Eukaryota; Metazoa; Chordata; Mammalia; Primates; Cheirogaleidae.
UCUUUAUUUUUAAAGAAAAUUUCCAAACUACAGAAAGUGGAGGGAAUCGGACAGUGAUCCCACGAGCCUGUUACCGGCCUCAUCAGUCAUCCACACUGGGUCCUUCCUGUUUGAGGGGUUUCCAGGUGUGCGCCUCCAGGAAGGCAAUGCGUCUCGCUGCCCCGAGAACCUUCUGUAAAACCCCAGAGAUUCCGUGACAGCAGAUCCUUGGCGGGAACGCAGAGCGCGAGCUCUCAGCAUAGGACAGAUUUGACAGGAGAGCCAACAGCUGGGACACAAGUAUUUUUGUAUUAAGGGGAAAGAAGAGUUCUGGUUAAAGAGAAAUCUCCACCUAUUUGGACUAAUUCCUCCUUGCUUCUCAUGUUUUGUGACAGAGCCUUGGGUCUGCUUUCCCCUAAUAGGACCAAAGAGGUGAGGGGAUGAGCCUAGGGCACCCAGGGAGUGGCCAGGGGGGGCUGCCGCCGGGAAGUCCUCUUAUGUGUGCUUCUUCAUUCAUUUGGCAAGGUUUCCCUGAGCACCUGCUAUGUGCCUUGUAUUGUGUUCCAGGUGCCUCCCCACAUGUGUGUAGCUUCCAUUCUAGUAUGGAAGAUGACAAUAGGCAGUAAGUAAAAUCCAUUGCACGUCAGACGGUGAUAGGUGCCACAGAGAAAGCUGAAGCAGGGAAGGAGCCUGGGGAGGGAGUGCUGGGGUGGGUGGCCAUCGUCAGCAAGGUGCCCAGGCAGGGCCCCUCUGGAGCAGACACAAGCAGGUGAGGGAGGGAGGCAGGGAGGAGUAAUCCAGGUGAGGGGACAGAAAGUGCAGAGGCUGGGGACGGGAGUUCUCCUUCUCGGGGCAGGGAGCAUCGUAGAGUGGCUGGCGCAGAGGCACGGCUGGGACAGGCCUGGGAGGUGAGGUCAAGGAGGGGAGUCUGUAGGGAAAAUUGGGGAAGCCACACUGUGUACGACCUUGAAGGCCUUUGUGAAGACUUUUGUUUUUCCUCUGAGUGAGAAGGGACGCGAUUGGUGGCUUUGAGGCAAGAGGAUUGCAAGGUCUGGCUUGAGUUUCGACAGGAGCUCUCUGGCUGCUGAGUUCAGAGCAAGUUGUAGAAGGAAGGCCAGAAGCAGGAGGAGGCUGUUGUGUCAUUCCAGGUGACAGAUGAUAGCAGCUCGAACCAGGGUGGCUGUGGCCGGCUUGGUCAGAAGUGGUCAGUUAUGGUUACCUUCGGAAGGUAGAGCCAACGGAAUUUGUGGCCUGAAGGAAUGUUGGAGAUGAGACAUAGAGAGCAGGGGCGACUCCCAGGUAAUCGAUCGAAGCAACUAGAAUCAUGGAGUUGCCAUUUCCUGAAAUGGAAACUCGGCGAGAAGGGCGGGUGUUGGAGGCACACUCAGCUCUGUUUGGGGCAGGUAGAUUUGACAUGCCUGUGUAACACGAAUGGAGCUCUCAAGUCUGCAGCGGGACAGGAGUCCACGGUGCAGGGGAGAGGCCGGGCCUGGAGUCCCUCCAGCUGGUGGGUGAGAUCACUAAGGGCAUGAUCACAGGUAUAAAGGAGAAGAGACCCAAGGACUGAGCCACGGUUCUGAUGUAACAGGAGCCAGGCCAGGCCGUGUCUCCUGGGCCUCCUCGCCUGGGUUUGAUGAAGGGACUCGUGGUGCUUCGUCCCUCUCCAUUAGCCACUUCCAGUCCUUGGCAUUGCCCUGAGUUAAGGUGGGGGUUGAGCGAGCCUCAUGUCAGCUGAAAGAGGAGAACCUCUCUCAGGUUAACCUGAGCCACAAGGGUUGCGGUAGAGCUACAUGCAGGGAUAGGCAGGCAGGAGUUCUGACUGUGUGUCACAGAAUGCAGCUUAGCCACUGGAAAGUCAUUCGGGACCCAGUGCUCCAGGCACUGAGUUGGUCCCUGGCCCUCUAAGGAGCAGAGGUGUGUUGGUGUUCACUUCCUUCCCUCUGCUCCCCGUCUCUUUCCUGGAGUUUUAUCUUACUCGUGCUGCGCCACCUUCACAUUUUUUUAAAAAGCUGUCUGAUCUUCUAGGGGCUUCAGCUUUUAUACACCGUCCCAACUCCUUGUGCUCCAAAUUCAAACUGGCAGCCCAAUAGCUACUGGUCUGGUUAGUUGAUUGGGCUCAGCCCUGCUGGGUGGAGCUUCUGCACCAGGCAAUAUGAUUGGCUGCCGGCCAGCCUGUAUUUCUGCAGUCUUUGGGUCAGGUGACUGCUUUUGCUCCAAUCAGGUGUCUGACUCUUGCAGAGGUAUUCUGGGCACAGAAUCCAAGGUCAACAAUAGCCCUGACAGUAGCAACAACAGCAUGGCGUGCUGAUUAAGGUGGCGUCCGGGUCAGACAGACUGGGCCUGGUCCAAGCCCAGCCUCCACCACUGACCGUGUGACGUUGGGCAGCUCGUUCGAGAUAACCGUACCCCCAUCGCUGCGUCUGUACGUGGGAAAUGGUCAAGCUGCCUACAUCUCAGCGUCGUGGGGAGGAGGAUGGCUUGGCACAGUGCCCGGUGUGUGGCGAACGCUAUUAUUGUUGUUUCACACAACCCUGAAAGCUUUGGACACUUGCUGUUGGCACGGGAAUGAUGAAAAGAUUUAUCUUUAGGAACAUAAAAAAAAAAAA